Molecule: long non-coding RNA, 410 nt
Filed under: Heterocephalus glaber (naked mole-rat)
Lineage: Eukaryota; Metazoa; Chordata; Mammalia; Rodentia; Bathyergidae
Description: lncRNA (ENSHGLG00100026925.2)
Source: RNAcentral
UUUGGACCCAGUGAUUGUGAGCACAGCAUCCAAGGUCGGCAGACCCAGUUUCAAGGCCCAGCUCUGCCUCUGUACCAGCAAUUUCUGACUUCCUGACACAAGAAGGAGCUACAACUUGUAUUAUCCCUGCUCCUGGACUGGAAUCAGCCUCUCCUGAAAGAAGUUCUGGAUCCUUCUAUUGGAGAAUGAUACUUAGAAACCAAGACUGGAGCCUCAGAUGUGCCCAUUGUUACUGAACUGCCACUGCUUUUAGGCCAUUUUGGUAAGCCAAACUUGAGAGAUUUAUGCAUAUGCUUACCCAUCACACAUACACAUAUUUAUGUCUGUAUCUGAAUGCAUAUGCCUUUGUACUUUUAAAGUGAAUUCAGGAGCCAGGUGUGGUGGUGCAUGCCUGUAACCCCACCACUUGG